RNAcentral lists this ribosomal RNA (468 nucleotides) under uncultured bacterium. RNAcentral's name for it is "partial 16S ribosomal RNA". It matches the Rfam family "Bacterial small subunit ribosomal RNA", at positions 28 to 507 of the family's 1533-position model. The record is from RNAcentral.
GACGAACGCUGGCGGCGUGCUUAACACAUGCAAGUCGAACGGAAAGGCCCUGCUUUUGUGGGGUGCUCGAGUGGCGAACGGGUGAGUAACACGUGAGUAACCUGCCCUUGACUUUGGGAUAACUUCAGGAAACUGGGGCUAAUACUGGAUAGGAGCCCCUGCUGCAUGGUGGGGGUUGGAAAGUUUCGGCGGUUGGGGAUGGACUCGCGGCUUAUCAGCUUGUUGGUGGGGUAGUGGCUUACCAAGGCUUUGACGGGUAGCCGGCCUGAGAGGGUGACCGGCCACAUUGGGACUGAGAUACGGCCCAGACUCCUACGGGAGGCAGCAGUGGGGAAUAUUGCACAAUGGGCGGAAGCCUGAUGCAGCAACGCCGCGUGCGGGAUGACGGCCUUCGGGUUGUAAACCGCUUUCGCCUGUGACGAAGCGUGAGUGACGGUAAUGGGUAAAGAAGCACCGGCUAACUACGUG